RNAcentral lists this ribosomal RNA (459 nucleotides) under uncultured bacterium. RNAcentral describes it as "partial 16S ribosomal RNA". It matches the Rfam family "Bacterial small subunit ribosomal RNA", at positions 338 to 795 of the family's 1533-position model. The record is from RNAcentral.
CCUACGGGUGGCAGCAGUGAGGAAUAUUGGUCAAUGGGAGAGAUCCUGAACCAGCCAAGCCGCGUGAGGGAAGACGGCCCUAUGGGUUGUAAACCUCUUUUGUCGGAGAACAAAACCCGGGACGUGUCCCGGACUGCGCGUAUCCGAAGAAAAAGCAUCGGCUAACUCCUUGCCAGCAGCCGCGGUAAUAGGGGGGAUGCGAGCGUUAUCCGGAUUUCUUGGGUUAAAAGGGUGCGUAGGCGGUCCGUUAAGUCAGCGGUAAAAUGGCGGGGCUAAACCCCGUCGAGCGGUUGAAACUGGGUGACUUGAGUGGGCGAGAGGUACGCGGAAUGCGCGGUGUAGCGGUGAAAUGCGUAGAUAUCGCGAAGAACUCCGAUUGCGAAGGCAGCGUACCGGCGCCAGACUGACGCUGAGGCACGAAAGCGUGGGGAUCGAACAGGAUUAGAUACCCGUGUAGUC